This 524-nucleotide ribosomal RNA is filed under the name gamma proteobacterium WH009040s. RNAcentral's name for it is "partial 16S ribosomal RNA". It matches the Rfam family "Bacterial small subunit ribosomal RNA", at positions 133 to 658 of the family's 1533-position model. Lineage: Bacteria; Pseudomonadati; Pseudomonadota; Gammaproteobacteria. The record is from RNAcentral.
GGGGGGGGGGACAACUGUUGGAAACCACUGCUAAUACCGCAUAAUGUCUACGGACCAAAGGGGGCUUCGGCUCUCCCCUUUAUAUUGCCCCAAGUGGGAUUAUCUAGGUGGUGAGGUAGUGGCUCACCAGGGCCACUAUCCCUAUGUGGUUUGAGAAGAUGAUCACCCACUGUGGGACUGACACACGGCCCACACUCCUACGGGAGGCAGCAGUGGAAAAUAUUGCACAGUGGGCGCACGCCUGAUGCACCCGUGCCGCGUGUGUGAAAAACGCCUUCGGGUUGUAAAGCUCUUUCACUCGAGAAGAAAGGUUAGUUGUUAAUACCCGCUAUGUGUGACGUUACUGACAAAAAAAGCCCCGGCUAUCUCCGUGCCAGCACCCGCGGUAAUACGGAGGGUGCGAGCGUUAAUCAAAAUCACUGGGCGUAAAGCGUACGCGCGCGGUUUGUUAAGCGAUAUGUGAAAGCCCCGGUCUCAAUGUGAACACUGUAUUUCACACUGGCAAACUAGAGUGUGAUAGAGGG